This 107-nucleotide small nuclear RNA is filed under the name Rhinopithecus bieti (black snub-nosed monkey). The record is from RNAcentral. Lineage: Eukaryota; Metazoa; Chordata; Mammalia; Primates; Cercopithecidae.
GUGUUCGCUUUAGCAGCACACAUACUAAAACUGGAAUGAUAUAGAGAAGAUUAGCAUGGCCCCUGCGCAAGGUUGACACGCAAAUUUGUGAAGCGUUCCAUAUUUUU